Molecule: long non-coding RNA, 312 nt
Filed under: Coffea arabica (coffee)
Lineage: Eukaryota; Viridiplantae; Streptophyta; Magnoliopsida; Gentianales; Rubiaceae
Description: long non-coding RNA (CARA_LNC006913)
Source: RNAcentral
GUUUCUUCUUUUUCCUUCCCCCUUUUUCUCCUUUUUUCUUCUUGCCCGAAACCCUAUUUUCCCUUUUUUUGUUUUUUCCCAGAUUUCCUUCAGACUCUCCCCACGGUCUCCUCCUUCCUCUCUCACUCUCCUCAAAUGCUCUCCUCCUUUCCCUUCCAACCCUCUUCCUUUGCAGCCUCUCUUCCCUUGCUCUCGGUCCCUCUUUUGUCUUCCUUCGUUUUUUACUUUGUUGCCCGCAGUUUUGCCUUCUUUUCUUGUUUCUUGUUUCCAUAUUCCCUUUUGUUUCUUCAGUUUUUUCCUUCUCCAUCCUCC